This 852-nucleotide ribosomal RNA is filed under the name uncultured bacterium. RNAcentral's name for it is "bacterial SSU rRNA". It matches the Rfam family "Bacterial small subunit ribosomal RNA", at positions 28 to 891 of the family's 1533-position model. The record is from RNAcentral.
GACGAACGCUGGCGGCGUGCCUAACACAUACAAGUCGAGCGGAGUAAAUACUACGGUAAUUACUCAGCGGCGGACGGGUGAGUAACACGUGGACAAUCUACCCUAUAGACCGGGAUAACACACCGAAAGGGGUGCUAAUACCGGAUAAUGUCGUGAAGUGGCAUCACUUAACGAAGAAAGGAGAAAUCCGCUAAAGGAAGAGUCCGCGGCCCAUUAGCUAGUUGGUGAGGUAAAGGCCCACCAAGGCAACGAUGGGUAGCCGGCCUGAGAGGGUGAACGGCCACACUGGAACUGAGAGACGGUCCAGACUCUUACGGGAGGCAGCAGUGGGGAAUAUUGCGCAAUGGGGGGGAACCCUGACGCAGCAACGCCGUCGUGAGCGAAGAAGGCCUUCSGGGUUGUAAAGCUCAAUAGUAUGGGAAGAAAGAAAUGACGGUACCAUACGAAAGCCCCCGGCUAACUACGUGCCAGCAGCCGCGGUAAUACGUAGGGGGCGAGCGUUGUCCGGAAUUACUGGGCGUAAAGAGCACGUAGGCGGCUAUAUAAGUCAGAUGUAAAAAACCUGGGCUUAACCGAGGGGAUGCAACUGAAACUAUAUAGCUUGAGUCAAGGAGAGGAAAGUGGAAUUCCCAGUGUAGCGGUGAAAUGCGUAGAUAUUGGGAAGAACACCAGUGGCGAAGGCGGCUUUCUGGACUGCAACUGACGCUGAGGCGCGAAAGCUAGGGGAGAGAACAGGAUUAGAUACCCUGGUAUUCCUAGCCGUAAACGAUGGGCACUAGGUGUGGGAGGUAUCGACCCCUUCCGUGCCGGAGUUAACGCAAUAAGUGCCCCGCCUGGGGAGUACGGCCGCAA